UGUCAGAUGAGCCUCCUGUCCGUUUGCCCCUUUCUAUAAACAAAAACCAGAGACAAAAGCAUAAUAUUCUUGGUCAAUAAUCUCAGCUAGUUUAAGCGGAACAACCUUCAAAUUAAAGGUGAGAAGGAAUAUCAAAUGUCCCAGGUGAUCUACGGGACAUAAGAGUGUGAAUCUCCAUAUUAUAUCAAAAACUAUUCUGAAGUAACCUUUGCCAUUAAAUAUCGUUGAAAGAUUUUCAAAUAUCAGAUAACAAACAGUGAAGCGCCUAACCAAUAUAUUCAUUCCCUAAUAGAGUUAUAAUCCCCGGGGAUAAACUUGAUCAUAGAGAAUAUGCGGUGAAAAUCCAAUAAUCCUUUAAUUGAGUGGACAGCCGCCAUGUUGUAUUUUGAUGCUAUAAAUUGGCGGGAAGACGCCCCUUUGACAUCAGUUGCAUUUCAGUGUUACCAACAACAAGAUCAUCACAGUUAAGAUGUCAGCAAUGAAGUAUGCAUUUGUCGCUGUCAUUUUGGCAGUUAUUUGCUUAGUUCAAGUUAGCGAAGCAAAUUACAAGACCGCUCCAAUGAAUGGUAUUAUGUUUGGCAAGAGAGGUCCUUCUGAAUACGAGAACAGAGCC
Long non-coding RNA from Pieris napi, 613 nucleotides. RefSeq lists it as uncharacterized. The record is from RefSeq and is a predicted model, not a curated record. Lineage: Eukaryota; Metazoa; Arthropoda; Insecta; Lepidoptera; Pieridae. The transcript is spliced from 3 exons.